RNAcentral lists this ribosomal RNA (429 nucleotides) under Chloroflexota bacterium. RNAcentral describes it as "Chloroflexi bacterium partial 16S ribosomal RNA". It matches the Rfam family "Bacterial small subunit ribosomal RNA", at positions 355 to 776 of the family's 1533-position model. Lineage: Bacteria; Bacillati; Chloroflexota. The record is from RNAcentral.
UGGGGAAUAUUGCACAAUGGGCGCAAGCCUGAUGCAGCCAUGCCGCGUGUAUGAAGAAGGCCUUCGGGUUGUAAAGUACUUUCAGCGGGGAGGAAGGGAGUAAAGUUAAUACCUUUGCUCAUUGACGUUACCCGCAGAAGGAGCACCGGCUAACUCCGUGCCAGCAGCCGCGGUAAUACGGAGGGUGCAAGCGUUAAUCGGAAUUACUGGGCGUAAAGCGCACGCAGGCGGUUUGUUAAGUCAGAUGUGAAAUCCUCGGGCUCAACCUGGGAGCUGCAUCUGAUACUGGCAAGCUUGAGUCUCGUAGAGGGGGGUAGAAUUCCAGGUGUAGCGGUGAAAUGCGUAGAGAUCUGGAGGAAUACCGGUGGCGAAGGCGGCCCCCUGGACGAAGACUGACGCUCAGGUGCGAAAGCGUGGGGAGCAAACAGG